This 253-nucleotide ribosomal RNA is filed under the name uncultured bacterium. Its description in RNAcentral is "partial 16S ribosomal RNA". It matches the Rfam family "Bacterial small subunit ribosomal RNA", at positions 524 to 776 of the family's 1533-position model. The record is from RNAcentral.
UACGUAUGGGGCAAGCGUUAUCCGGAUUUACUGGGUGUAAAGGGAGCGUAGGCGGCGGGGCAAGCCUGAUGUGAAAGCCCGGGGCUCAACCCCGGGACUGCAUUGGGAACUGCCCUGCUGGAGUGCCGGAGGGGCAGGCGGAAUUCCUAGUGUAGCGGUGAAAUGCGUAGAUAUUAGGAGGAACACCAGUGGCGAAGGCGACUUUCUGGACUGUAACUGACGUUGAGGCACGAAAGUGUGGGGAGCAAACAGG